AUUGUUAGUAGCAAACGUAGCACCGGAUACGUCAUCAAAGAAGAGAAAAGAGAAAGUGAACGAAGAUAUCGAUUAAAUUCGAUAAAUAGUGGCUAGGUACGAAAGUAUAAGGACUCAGCAUACAAGCCGAUCCCCAAACUCAAAUUGGUGAAGUUUCUAUCUUUUUAGAAAAUGGCAUUGUACCUAGGAUGUCUUUUGGUUAUUUUGAAAGUAUUUAAGUUGUUAAGUGA
Long non-coding RNA from Gossypium arboreum, 230 nucleotides. RefSeq lists it as uncharacterized. Lineage: Eukaryota; Viridiplantae; Streptophyta; Magnoliopsida; Malvales; Malvaceae. The transcript has 2 exons. The record is from RefSeq and is a predicted model, not a curated record.